GGAGAGAUGGCUCAGUGGUUAAGAGCACUGACUUUCAGAGGUUCUGAGUUCAAUUCCCAGCAUCUACA
This 68-nucleotide transfer RNA is filed under the name Mus musculus (house mouse). It matches the Rfam family "tRNA". Rfam says of the family: Transfer RNA (tRNA) molecules are approximately 80 nucleotides in length. The record is from Rfam by way of RNAcentral. Lineage: Eukaryota; Metazoa; Chordata; Mammalia; Rodentia; Muridae.